This is a non-coding RNA of Ochotona princeps (American pika), 230 nucleotides long. NCBI's taxonomy places the organism in Eukaryota, Metazoa, Chordata, Mammalia, Lagomorpha, Ochotonidae. The record is from Rfam.
AGGGAGCAGGGGCGGGAGCCCGGAGUGCGGGGAGCGUUUCAGGGGGGCGCGUGGGAUCUCCCGGGAGCGCCCGGAGGCAGCGGCGAUGGCGCAGCCUGGGACUGCCAGGCGCGGGGCAGGAAGCGGCAGGCUGCAGGGAGGCCCCGCACCCCAGGCCAGGGCGGGGACCUGCCGCUCUCCAGCUGAGCCUGAGCGAAGGGUAGUUGCAGUUGGGCGAAGAAGCCCAGUAC